AUGAUCUCGCUGCUUUGGCAAGGUCUCCAUGGAGUAAAACUAUUGUGUCAGUCAUCAUCGAGUGUUUUGUUUGUUGUGAGAAUGAAGGAAACCAUGCUAAGGCUAAGAAGAAGAAAAUUCAGUUUAGGUAGGAUAGUAGAUGUAAAUUACUCCAGUUUUUGGUUGCAUGCUCGAAGUAACUGUAUUAAGCUAGCUCAUCAUAAAUCAUAUUUGGUUCUAGGAGGAAGAAGCCUCGGACUUUGUUGUAAGUGCAUCAUAUUUUCAGAAUUGUGUUAUUGUCACAGUUCAUCAUUACUACAAAGUAUGCCUACUGGCUUACAUUUUCUUCUCCAAAUCUUUGAGAAGUGUGCGGAUGCCAGUCUAAAUCUUGCUAGGCUAUUUGACGUGUGGCUUGUUUAG
This 399-nucleotide ribosomal RNA is filed under the name Triticum aestivum (bread wheat). RNAcentral describes it as "partial small subunit ribosomal RNA". Lineage: Eukaryota; Viridiplantae; Streptophyta; Magnoliopsida; Poales; Poaceae. The record is from RNAcentral.